This is a non-coding RNA of Pangasius djambal, 72 nucleotides long. Lineage: Eukaryota; Metazoa; Chordata; Actinopteri; Siluriformes; Pangasiidae. The record is from the annotation of a GenBank genome assembly.
UCCCUGGACGACUAGUGGUUAGGCCUCGGUGCUCUCAGAGCUGUUGUCUGGGUUCGAUUCCUGGCCAGGGAA